AAAACUCUACUUUCAGGAAUCAUUUCUAUAGUUUGUUCCAAGUUACUGGAAACCAUAAGGAGGAAAUGAGGGGUUCCCUUCUGAGUGUGAAACUUGCUCUUGGUUUUGCUUCUGCAACUACCAUUUGCCUUUGAUAAUCGUCCUUCUCUUCUUCUGGGAGAGUGAGAGGGAGAGGAUGCUGCCUGAGUGCU
Molecule: small nucleolar RNA, 191 nt
Organism: Camelus dromedarius (Arabian camel)
Lineage: Eukaryota; Metazoa; Chordata; Mammalia; Artiodactyla; Camelidae
Gene: U3
Rfam family: Small nucleolar RNA U3
About the family: Small nucleolar RNAs (snoRNAs) are involved in the processing and modification of rRNA in the nucleolus. There are two main classes of snoRNAs: the box C/D class, and the box H/ACA class.
Source: Ensembl